AACGAACGCUGGCGGCAGGCUUAACACAUGCAAGUCGAACGCGCCGCAAGGGGAGUGGCAGACGGGUGAGUAACACGUGGGAACAUGCCCAAAGGUACGGAACAACUCCGGGAAACUGGAGCUAAUACCGUAUGUGCCCGAAAGGGGAAAGAUUUAUCGCCUUUGGAUUGGCCCGCGUCGGAUUAGCUAGUUGGUGGGGUAAAAGCCUACCAAGGCGACGAUCCGUAGCUGGUUUGAGAGAACGACCAGCCACACUGGGACUGAGACACGGCCCAGACUCCUACGGGAGGCAGCAGUGGGGAAUCUUGGACAAUGGGCGCAAGCCUGAUCCAGCCAUGCCGCGUGGAUGAUGAAGGCCUUAGGGUUGUAAAAUCCUUUCGUUGGGGACGAUAAUGACGGUACCCAAAGAAGAAGCCCCGGCUAACCUCGUGCCAGCCGCCGCAGUAA
RNAcentral lists this ribosomal RNA (447 nucleotides) under uncultured bacterium. RNAcentral describes it as "partial 16S ribosomal RNA". It matches the Rfam family "Bacterial small subunit ribosomal RNA", at positions 29 to 523 of the family's 1533-position model. The record is from RNAcentral.